CUGGGGAUCUGCCCGAUAAGGGGGAUAACCACUGUAAACGGUGGCUAAUACCGCAUAUCGUCUCACGACCAAAGAGGGGGACCUUCUGGCCUCUCACUAUCGGAUGAACCCACAUGGGAUUAUCUAUUAUGCGGGGUAAUGGCCCACCUAUGCGACAAUCCCUAUCUGGUCUGAGAGGAUGACCAGCCACACUGGAACUGAGACACGGUCCACACUCCUACGGGAGGCACCACUGGGGAAUAUUGCACAAUGUGCGCAAGCCUGAUGCACCCAUGCCGCGUGUAUGUAAAAAAGCCUUCUCGUUGUAAAGUACAUUCACCGCGGAGGAGGCGAUAGGGUUAUUAACCCUGUCUAUUGACAUUACCCGCACAAAAACACCCGCUAACUCCCUGCCCCCAGCCGCGGUAAUACAGAGGGUGCACGCGUUAAUC
Molecule: ribosomal RNA, 431 nt
Filed under: Pantoea sp. F213
Lineage: Bacteria; Pseudomonadati; Pseudomonadota; Gammaproteobacteria; Enterobacterales; Erwiniaceae
Description: bacterial SSU rRNA
Rfam family: Bacterial small subunit ribosomal RNA
Source: RNAcentral